This 681-nucleotide ribosomal RNA is filed under the name Acinetobacter sp. Its description in RNAcentral is "bacterial SSU rRNA". It matches the Rfam family "Bacterial small subunit ribosomal RNA", at positions 342 to 1014 of the family's 1533-position model. The record is from RNAcentral. Lineage: Bacteria; Pseudomonadati; Pseudomonadota; Gammaproteobacteria; Moraxellales; Moraxellaceae.
CGGGAGGCAGCAGUGGGGAAUAUUGGACAAUGGGCGCAAGCCUGAUCCAGCCAUGCCGCGUGUGUGAAGAAGGCCUUAUGGUUGUAAAGCACUUUAAGCGAGGAGGAGGCUACUGAAGUUAAUACCUUCAGAUAGUGGACGUUACUCGCAGAAUAAGCACCGGCUAACUCUGUGCCAGCAGCCGCGGUAAUACAGAGGGUGCAAGCGUUAAUCGGAUUUACUGGGCGUAAAGCGCGCGUAGGCGGCUAAUUAAGUCAAAUGUGAAAUCCCCGAGCUUAACUUGGGAAUUGCAUUCGAUACUGGUUAGCUAGAGUGUGGGAGAGGAUGGUAGAAUUCCAGGUGUAGCGGUGAAAUGCGUAGAGAUCUGGAGGAAUACCGAUGGCGAAGGCAGCCAUCUGGCCUAACACUGACGCUGAGGUGCGAAAGCAUGGGGAGCAAACAGGAUUAGAUACCCUGGUAGUCCAUGCCGUAAACGAUGUCUACUAGCCGUUGGGGCCUUUGAGGCUUUAGUGGCGCAGCUAACGCGAUAAGUAGACCGCCUGGGGAGUACGGUCGCAAGACUAAAACUCAAAUGAAUUGACGGGGGCCCGCACAAGCGGUGGAGCAUGUGGUUUAAUUCGAUGCAACGCGAAGAACCUUACCUGGCCUUGACAUAGUAAGAACUUUCCAGAGAUGGAUUGG